Andrographis paniculata is the source of this 437-nucleotide long non-coding RNA. RefSeq lists it as uncharacterized. NCBI's taxonomy places the organism in Eukaryota, Viridiplantae, Streptophyta, Magnoliopsida, Lamiales, Acanthaceae. The record is from RefSeq and is a predicted model, not a curated record. The transcript is spliced from 3 exons.
GAAGGAAGGCAGAGGAAGAAACGUGAAGGAGAAAAAAGGAGAAAAAGAAAAAAAGAAAGAAAAAGAUUUAGCCGUCCGAUUCCAAUUCCGACUUGGGUGUACGUUGGAGGAGAUUUGGGUGAAGUUAGAAAAUCCAGAAAGUAUCGGUAGGAGGUACGCAUGGCACCUCCGGGACAGGGGACGUCUCGGGAGAUAGAAAGACGGGCUGAAUGAGUGAACUGCAUCUGAUGUAUUAUAUGUAAAUUCUAACUAGAAAAACCUCCCGUUUUGGGAGUAUGUUUUUGUAAAUAUUUAUAAACUUGUUUUUUUUUGGGAAUAAUAAAAUGCUUAUAUAAUUAAUUUUAGCCUUAACACUGUGUUGUGGGGCCCGAAGUAGGAGGUGACGACCUCAUGAUGCAGUGUGGCGGUAGCAUUUCCAGUAUGAGCCAACUGGGGGU